This 492-nucleotide ribosomal RNA is filed under the name uncultured bacterium. RNAcentral describes it as "bacterial SSU rRNA". It matches the Rfam family "Bacterial small subunit ribosomal RNA", at positions 903 to 1397 of the family's 1533-position model. The record is from RNAcentral.
AAAGGAAUAGACGGGGGCCCGCACAAGCGGUGGAGCAUGUGGUUUAAUUCGAUGAUACGCGAGGAACCUUACCUGGGCUUAAAUGCAUAAUGACAUCCCGAGAAAUCGGGAGUUCUUCGGACAGAAUGCAAGGUGCUGCAUGGCUGUCGUCAGCUCGUGCUGUGAGGUGUCGGGUUAAGUCCCAUAACGAGCGCAACCCCUAUUUCUAGUUGCCAGCGAGUAAUGUCGGGGACUCUAGAGAAACUGCCCGCGUAAGCGGUGAGGAAGGAGGGGACGACGUCAAGUCAUCACGGCCCUUACGUCCAGGGCUACACACGUGCUACAAUGGUAGAGACAGAGGGCAGCCACUCGGUGACGAGGCGCUAAUCUUUAAACUCUAUCUCAGUUCGGAUCGAAGUCUGCAACUCGACUUCGUGAAGCUGGAAUCGCUAGUAAUCGCACAUCAGCCACGGUGCGGUGAAUACGUUCCCGGGCCUUGUACACACCGCCCGU